GACGAACGCUGGCGGCGUGCCUAAUACAUGCAAGUCGAGCGAGCUUGCCUAGAUGAAUUUGGUGCUUGCACCAGAUGAAACUAGAUACAAGCGAGCGGCGGACGGGUGAGUAACACGUGGGUAACCUGCCCAAGAGACUGGGAUAACACCUGGAAACAGAUGCUAAUACCGGAUAACAACACUAGACGCAUGUCUAGAGUUUAAAAGAUGGUUCUGCUAUCACUCUUGGAUGGACCUGCGGUGCAUUAGCUAGUUGGUAAGGUAACGGCUUACCAAGGCAAUGAUGCGUAGCCGAGUUGAGAGACUGAUCGGCCACAUUGGGACUGAGACACGGCCCAAACUCCUACGGGAGGCAGCAGUAGGGAAUCUUCCACAAUGGACGCAAGUCUGAUGGAGCAACGCCGCGUGAGUGAAGAAGGGUUUCGGCUCGUAAAGCUCUGUUGGUAGUGAAGAAAGAUAGAGGUAGUAACUGGCCUUUAUUUGACGGUAAUUACUUAGAAAG
This 502-nucleotide ribosomal RNA is filed under the name uncultured bacterium. Its description in RNAcentral is "bacterial SSU rRNA". It matches the Rfam family "Bacterial small subunit ribosomal RNA", at positions 28 to 490 of the family's 1533-position model. The record is from RNAcentral.